This 29-nucleotide non-coding RNA is filed under the name Mus musculus (house mouse). Lineage: Eukaryota; Metazoa; Chordata; Mammalia; Rodentia; Muridae. The record is from RNAcentral.
UAAGAGUAUCCUUACAGAUGUUCACUGGU